Long non-coding RNA from Nelumbo nucifera (sacred lotus), 361 nucleotides. RefSeq lists it as uncharacterized. The record is from RefSeq and is a predicted model, not a curated record. Lineage: Eukaryota; Viridiplantae; Streptophyta; Magnoliopsida; Proteales; Nelumbonaceae.
UUACGGGUAUUCUCCUAUUCUACUGUGAACUGAAAACCUUGGCGCCCCCUUUCGUAUCCCACCCACCGGAGAUAAACUCUUUCGAGUUCUGCCGGCCGACGCCAACGGCCAUACCGGCAGGAGAUCUGAAAUCCACCGGAGUGGGAGCCCCCUGACGUCGUUUCAAGCCCUUGACACCUUCGAUAACCCACCGGAGAUUAACUCUUUUGAGUUCCGCCGGUCGACGCCGACGACCAACAGUUUUCAGCUGAUUUUCAUUUGUAACAUUAUACCUAAAACUUGGAAUGAUUAUUGAUUUGUGUAUUUAUUAAUUAGAAGAAAUUAAACAUGAUCAUGAUUAUUGUUUAUUAAUUAGUCGUCU